GUUUAUUUAUUUGUAGAGGUCAAGAACAACGAUUCAAUGGACUUGCACAAUCAUUGUGAUUUGGUUGAUUGUGGAAUCACAUGCUCAAAAGAUUAAAAUGAAUCCAAACCGCUGGGGCCCUCAGUCAAUGAUGUAUCUCAAAGGAAAAUAUGGCACAAGAGAUGUUCCUGACUAUGAUGACAGUGUUUACAAAUCAGGGUUGAAUGGCUGGUACACACUUAUUAAAGGGUUCCAAAGGUUGAGGCCACUGAAUUUCAGAAAACCCAGAAGACUUCGAACAACUAAUCCACAACUUGGAGUAUUGAAGAUAGAUGGAUAUUUUGAGGUUGAAGUAGUUUAGUUAUGGGACAAUUUUACCUCAAAGAA
Molecule: long non-coding RNA, 366 nt
Organism: Oncorhynchus gorbuscha (pink salmon)
Lineage: Eukaryota; Metazoa; Chordata; Actinopteri; Salmoniformes; Salmonidae
Exons: 4
Source: RefSeq, a predicted model, not a curated record